UCACUCCCCCCCAAAGAAUACAUUUCCCGAUGAUUGUCACUUAAGGUUAGUUUGAAAUUAUUUUCCGUGAGAAUAAAUUUAUGGAAGGUGAUCCUUGAUCACCAGUGUUAUGAAGCACACUGUGCCGGGGGGUUUUGCUCAUUCCUCGCCGAGAGGGGAUUGAUUUUGGUAAGUUGUUCUCAUGGGGAAUAAUUUCAAACUAACCCUAAGGGACAAUCAUCGGGAAGUGUUUUGGGGGGAAUAG
This 244-nucleotide microRNA precursor is filed under the name Trypanosoma congolense IL3000. Lineage: Eukaryota; Euglenozoa; Kinetoplastea; Trypanosomatida; Trypanosomatidae. The record is from RNAcentral.